CCUACGGGCGGCUGCAGUGGGGAAUAUUGCACAAUGGGGGAAACCCUGAUGCAGCGACGCCGCGUGAGUGAAGAAGUAUCUCGGUACGUAAAGCUCUAUCAGCAGGGAAGAACAUGACGGUAACUGACUAAGAAGCCCCGGCUAACUACGUGCCAGCAGCCGCGGUAAUACGUAGGGGGCAAGCGUUAUCCGGAUUUUAUGGGUGUAAAGGGAGCGUAGACGGUAGCACAAGGCUGGGGUGAAAUCCCGGGGCUUAACCCCGGAACUGCUUUGGAGACUGGGCGGCUGGAGUGAGGGAGGGGUAAGCGGAAUUCCAAGUGUAGCGGUGAGAUGCGUAGAUAUUAGGAGGAACACCAGAGGCGAAGGCGGCUUACUGGACUGUAACUGACGUUGAGGGUCGAAAGCGUGGGGAGCAAACAGGAUUAGAUACCCGGGUAGUC
Molecule: ribosomal RNA, 440 nt
Filed under: uncultured bacterium
Lineage: Bacteria
Description: partial 16S ribosomal RNA
Rfam family: Bacterial small subunit ribosomal RNA
Source: RNAcentral